GCUUGUCUCAAAGAUUAAGCCAUGCAUGUCUAAGUAUAAACGACUUUAUACUGUGAAACUGCGAAUGGCUCAUUAUAUCGGUUAUAGUUUAUUUGAUGGUCCUUGCUACUUGGAUAACCGUAGUAAUUCUAGAGCUAAUACAUGCGUCAAAACCCGACUCCUGGGAGGGUUGUAUUUAUUAGAUGGAAACCAAUGCGGGGCAACCCGGUAUAUGGUGAUUCAUAAUAACUUUCGGAUCGAUCUUCGGAUCGAUGCAUCAUUCAAGUUUCUGCCCUAUCAGCUUUGGAUGGUAGGGUAUUGGCCUACCAUGGCUUUAACGGGUAACGGAGAAUUAGGGUUCGAUUCCGGAGAGGGAGCCUGAGAAAUGGCUACCACAUCCAAGGAAGGCAGCAGG
Molecule: ribosomal RNA, 394 nt
Filed under: uncultured Spumella
Lineage: Eukaryota; Synurophyceae; Ochromonadales; Ochromonadaceae
Description: partial small subunit ribosomal RNA
Rfam family: Eukaryotic small subunit ribosomal RNA
Source: RNAcentral